AUACCUCCUACAAAAAAAUCUCCUUCAUCCCUCUCCAGAUGAGGAAAAGAGGAAAUACAAGAAGUGCCUGGUACAGAGCUCCAGUUCCUACUUCAGGGAUGUGAAAUGCCCAGGAUGCUGUAAUCAUCAUGAUCAUUAAUCAUGCACACACAGUAGUGGUGUGUGUUCGCUGCUCUACCGUUCUCUGUCAGUCUACAGGAGGCAAAGCAAGGCUGACAGAAGGAUGCUCCUUCAGGAGGAAGCAGCAGUAA
RNAcentral lists this long non-coding RNA (251 nucleotides) under Homo sapiens (human). RNAcentral describes it as "non-protein coding lnc-PPM1K-2:1". Lineage: Eukaryota; Metazoa; Chordata; Mammalia; Primates; Hominidae. The record is from RNAcentral.